This 458-nucleotide ribosomal RNA is filed under the name uncultured bacterium. RNAcentral describes it as "partial 16S ribosomal RNA". It matches the Rfam family "Bacterial small subunit ribosomal RNA", at positions 29 to 507 of the family's 1533-position model. The record is from RNAcentral.
AGCGAACGCUGGCGGCAGGCCUAACACAUGCAAGUCGAACGGACUCUUCGGAAUUACUGGCUGACGGGGGUGUCACACGUCGGAACGUGGCUUUAUACACGGAAUAACUCAUGUAAACUGGUGCUAAUACAGAAUGUGCCACUCGGGGAACAGAUUUAUCGCCAUUAGGACGGCAGGUGUCCUAUUAGCGAGUUGGUGGGGUAACGGCCGAUCAAGGCGAAGAUCCGUAGCUGGUUUGAGAGGAAGAAAAGCCACACUGGAAGUGAGACACGGCACAGACUCCUACGGGAGGCAGCAGUGGGGAAUAGUGGACAAUGGGCGCAAGCCUGAUCCAGCAAUACGGCGUGGGUGAAGAAGGCCUUCGGCUGGGAAAGCCAUUUUGUUGGGAAAGAAAAGCAGCAGGUUAAUACCCCGCUGUUCUGACGGUACCCAAAGAAUAAGCACCGGCUAACUUCGUG